UAGGGAAUAUUGGACAAUGGGCGCAAGCCUGAUCCAGCCAUCCCGCGUGAAGGAUUAAGGUCCUAUGGAUUGUAAACUUCUUUUCUCUGGGAAUAAAAAGUGGGAUUCAUUCCUGCCUUGAAGGUACCAGAGGAAUAAGCACCGGCUAACUCCGUGCCAGCAGCCGCGGUAAUACGGAGGGUGCAAGCGUUAUCCGGAUUCACUGGGUUUAAAGGGUGCGUAGGUGGCUUUGUAAGUCAGUGGUGAAAUAUUACGGCUCAACCGUAAAACUGCCAUUGAUACUGCUUAGCUUGAAUCAGGUCGAGGUGGAUGGAAUAUUACAUGUAGCGGUGAAAUGCUUAGAUAUGUAAUAGAACACCGAUUGCGAAGGCAGUUCACUAGGCCUGAAUUGACACUGAGGCACGAAAGCGUGGGGAUCAAACAGGAUUAGAUACCCCCGUAGUCC
This 445-nucleotide ribosomal RNA is filed under the name uncultured bacterium. RNAcentral's name for it is "bacterial SSU rRNA". It matches the Rfam family "Bacterial small subunit ribosomal RNA", at positions 355 to 796 of the family's 1533-position model. The record is from RNAcentral.